RNAcentral lists this ribosomal RNA (213 nucleotides) under uncultured bacterium. Its description in RNAcentral is "partial 16S ribosomal RNA". It matches the Rfam family "Bacterial small subunit ribosomal RNA", at positions 524 to 736 of the family's 1533-position model. The record is from RNAcentral.
UACGGAGGGUGCGAGCGUUGUCCGGAAUCACUGGGCGUAAAGGGCGCGUAGGCGGCCUGGUAAGUCGGAUGUCAAAUUCCGGGGCUCAACUCCGGGGCGCCAUCCGAGACUGUCAGGCUCGAGCACGGCAGGGGCGAGUGGAAUUCCCGGUGUAGCGGUGGAAUGCGUAGAUAUCGGGAAGAACACCCGUGGCGAAGGCGGCUCGCUGGGCCG